UACAGGGGGGGCAAGCGUUGUCCGGAAUUACUGGGCGUAAAGAGCGCGCAGGCGGUCGUUCAAGUCGCGUGUGAAAGCCCCCGGCUCAACUGGGGAGGGUCACGCGAUACUGAUCGACUCGAAGGCAGGAGAGGGUAGUGGAAUUCCCGGUGUAGUGGUGAAAUGCGUAGAUAUCGGGAGGAACACCAGUGGCGAAGGCGACUACCUGGCCUGUUUCUUGACGCUGAGGCGCGAAAGCUAGGGGAGCAAACGGG
RNAcentral lists this ribosomal RNA (254 nucleotides) under uncultured bacterium. RNAcentral describes it as "partial 16S ribosomal RNA". It matches the Rfam family "Bacterial small subunit ribosomal RNA", at positions 524 to 776 of the family's 1533-position model. The record is from RNAcentral.